RNAcentral lists this ribosomal RNA (277 nucleotides) under uncultured Burkholderia sp. RNAcentral describes it as "partial 16S ribosomal RNA". It matches the Rfam family "Bacterial small subunit ribosomal RNA", at positions 536 to 806 of the family's 1533-position model. The record is from RNAcentral. Lineage: Bacteria; Pseudomonadati; Pseudomonadota; Betaproteobacteria; Burkholderiales; Burkholderiaceae.
AAGCGUUAAUCGGAAUUACUGGGCGUAAAGCGUGCGCAGGCGGUUUGCUAAGACCGAUGUGAAAUCCCCGGGCUCAACCUGGGAACUGCAUUGGUGACUGGCAGGCUAGAGUAUGGCAGAGGGGGGUAGAAUUCCACGUGUAGCAGUGAAAUGCGUAGAUAUGCGGAGGAACACCGAUGGCGAAGGCAGACCCCCUGGGCCAAUACUGACGCUCAUGCACGAAAAGCGUGGGGGAGCAAACAGGAUUUAGAAUACCCUGGUAGUCCACCCCCCUAAA